GUAGAAGCCUACCAAGGCAAUGAUGCGUAGCCGAGUUGAGAGACUGGCCGGCCACAUUGGGACUGAGACACUGCCCAAACUCCUACGGGAGGCUGCAGUAGGGAAUUUUCCGCAAUGCACGAAAGUGUGACGGAGCGACGCCGCGUGUGUGAUGAAGGCUUUCGGGUCGUAAAGCACUGUUGUAAGGGAAGAAUAACUGAAUUCAGAGAAAGUUUUCAGCUUGACGGUACCUUACCAGAAAGGGAUGGCUAAAUACGUGCCAGCAGCCGCGGUAAUACGUAUGUCCCGAGCGUUAUCCGGAUUUAUUGGGCGUAAAGCGAGCGCAGACGGUUUAUUAAGUCUGAUGUGAAAUCCCGAGGCCCAACCUCGGAACUGCAUUGGAAACUGAUUUACUUGAGUGCGAUAGAGGCAAGUGGAACUCCAUGUGUAGCGGUGAAAUGCGUAGAUAUGUGGAAGAACACCAGUGGCGAAAGCGGCUUGCUAGAUCGUAACUGACGUUGAGGCUCGAAAGUAUGGGUAGCAAACGGGAUUAGAUACCCCGGUAGUCCAUACCGUAAACGAUGGGUGCUAGUUGUUAAGAGGUUUCCGCCUCCUAGUGACGUAGCAAACGCAUUAAGCACCCCGCCUGAGGAGUACGGCCGCAAGGCUAAAACUUAAAGGAAUUGACGGGGACCCGCACAAGCGGUGGAGCAUGUGGUUUAAUUCGAAGAUACGCGAAAAACCUUACCAGGUCUUGACAUACMAAUGAUCGCUUUUGUAAUGAAAGCUUUUCUUCGGAACAUUGGAUACAGGUGGUGCAUGGUCGUCGUCAGCUCGUGUCGUGAGAUGUUGGGUUAAGUCCCGCAACGAGCGCAACCCUUGUUAUUAGUUGCCAGCAUUUAGUUGGGCACUCUAAUGAGACUGCCGGUGAU
RNAcentral lists this ribosomal RNA (911 nucleotides) under Oenococcus oeni. RNAcentral describes it as "bacterial SSU rRNA". It matches the Rfam family "Bacterial small subunit ribosomal RNA", at positions 257 to 1159 of the family's 1533-position model. Lineage: Bacteria; Bacillati; Bacillota; Bacilli; Lactobacillales; Lactobacillaceae. The record is from RNAcentral.